ACUGAAUAGAUACCCAGGUAGUCCACGCCGUAAACGAUGAUCACUCGCUGUUAGCGAUAUACAGUUAGCGGCUAAAGCAAAAGCAUUAAGUGAUCCACCUGGGGAGUACGGCCGCAAGGCUGAAACUCAAAGGAAUUGACGGGGGCCCGCACAAGCGGAGGAACAUGUGGUUUAAUUCGAUGAUACGCGAGGAACCUUACCUGGGCUUAAAUGUAGACUGCAUUAAUGGGAAAUCAUUAUUUCCUUCGGGACUGUCUGCAAGGUGCUGCAUGGUUGUCGUCAGCUCGUGCCGUGAGGUGUCGGGUUAAGUCCCAUAACGAGCGCAACCCUUAUCGUUAGUUGCCAGCGGGUAAAGCCGGGGACUCUAGCGAAACUGCCGGUGUAAACCGAGAGGAAGGUGGGGAUGACGUCAAAUCAGCACGGCCCUUAUGUCCAGGGCUACACACGUGUUACAAUGGCCGGUACAGAGGGCAGCUAUGCUGUGAGGCAAUGCGAAUCUCGAAAGCCGGUCUCAGUUCGG
Molecule: ribosomal RNA, 520 nt
Filed under: uncultured bacterium
Lineage: Bacteria
Description: bacterial SSU rRNA
Rfam family: Bacterial small subunit ribosomal RNA
Source: RNAcentral